RNAcentral lists this ribosomal RNA (329 nucleotides) under uncultured eukaryote. RNAcentral describes it as "partial 18S ribosomal RNA". It matches the Rfam family "Eukaryotic small subunit ribosomal RNA", at positions 1470 to 1796 of the family's 1831-position model. The record is from RNAcentral.
CCCUUAGAUGUCCUGGGCCGCACGCGCGCUACACUGAGUGUCUGAGAUACGAGUCUGCCUGGUCCGGCAAGGUCUAGGUAAUCGCUAAAAGACACAUCAUGCUUGGGAUAGAUUAUUGCAAAUAUUAAUCUUGAACGAGGAAUUCCUAGUAAGCGCAAGUCAACAGCUUGCGUUUAUUACGUCCCUGCCCUUUGUACACACCGCCCGUCGCUACUACUGAUUGGAUGUUUAAGCGAGGUUCUCGAACUGCUAGCGACUUAGCUUCGGUGAGGCCGCAGUGUGGGAAGUGAACCUAGCUUUGGUGUCUAGAGGAAGUAAAAGUCGUAACA